AUGCAGCAGCAGCCCCGCUGGAAGAUAGCCAAGGAGCAAAAGCUGUGGAGCCCAACACAUCAGGUGUCUAAAUCCCAAGGGGCUACUCUCACGUGCAUGGGCAACUCCAGGUUUUUCCUUGUUGAUUGCGUGGUAGCCGAUGGGUUCGAGUUCCAGGAUGCCUUUGAUGACCCUCAUGGCUUCGUGCUCAACAUGACCACGUUUCGUCUCAAGUACAAUCAUGAGGGCAAGCUGCGAAUCGUUGACAGAAACACCACCUCUUGUCGCAUCUCUAGGCAACUCUCGUCUUUUGCUCCUGUAGCGUUCUGGAUGUAG
This 315-nucleotide ribosomal RNA is filed under the name Triticum aestivum (bread wheat). RNAcentral describes it as "partial small subunit ribosomal RNA". The record is from RNAcentral. Lineage: Eukaryota; Viridiplantae; Streptophyta; Magnoliopsida; Poales; Poaceae.